Hemiscyllium ocellatum (epaulette shark) is the source of this 465-nucleotide long non-coding RNA. RefSeq lists it as uncharacterized. The record is from RefSeq and is a predicted model, not a curated record. The transcript has 3 exons. Lineage: Eukaryota; Metazoa; Chordata; Chondrichthyes; Orectolobiformes; Hemiscylliidae.
UGGAGAUCACAUCGCCGGGGGUUCGAGACCGCAGUGCGGUCAGCCUCAUCAGUCCACUCUGAAUGACUGUUCGUCAGAGCUCUGGCUCUCUAAACCGCUGUGAUACUCAAUAUUUAAACACCAGCAGCUGGGUGGUCACGUCCAUUGUGUAGAAUCGUAUUCUGUGCAACAUUCUAGCAAUUAGAAUCAGCCUAAGCAUUACGGCACAGAUAGAGAACACGGGGGCUAACACCUUCAACAUAGCAUCUAACACCAAUUGUUACAGUUAACCUGAAAUGUAACUUUUUAAAAAAUGUUUUGUGAUUUACACAUGAAAGAGGUGAAAUUAACAUGGUCAUUCUAAUAGAUGAAAGACUCAACAAACAAUCGAAGUAUUUUUCAAUGUAUAAUUUCAGUUACAUCACACUGUAAACGUUUGCUAUAAAUUCUGUGUCUUCAAUAGUGUCCUCCACAACCCCCUGAUGA